RNAcentral lists this ribosomal RNA (478 nucleotides) under uncultured bacterium. RNAcentral describes it as "partial 16S ribosomal RNA". It matches the Rfam family "Bacterial small subunit ribosomal RNA", at positions 28 to 523 of the family's 1533-position model. The record is from RNAcentral.
GACGAACGCUGGCGGCGUGCUUAACACAUGCAAGUCGAACGGUAAGGCCCUUCGGGGUACACGAGUGGCGAACGGGUGAGUAACACGUGGGUGAUCUGCCCUGCACUUCGGGAUAAGCCUGGGAAACUGGGUCUAAUACCGGAUAGGACCACUGCCUGCAUGGGUGGUGGUGGGAAGCUUUUGCGGUGUGGGAUGGGCCCGCGGCCUAUCAGCUUGUUGGUGGGGUGAUGGCCUACCAAGGCGACGACGGGUAGCCGGCCUGAGAGGGUGACCGGCCACACUGGGACUGAGAUACGGCCCAGACUCCUACGGGAGGCAGCAGUGGGGAAUAUUGCACAAUGGGCGCAAGCCUGAUGCAGCGACGCCGCGUGAGGGAUGACGGCCUUCGGGUUGUAAACCUCUUUCAGCACCGACGAAGCGCAAGUGACGGUAGGCGCAGAGGAAGGACCGGCCAACUACGUGCCAGCCGCCGCAGUAA